GACGAACGCUGGCGGCGUGCCUAAUACAUGCAAGUCGAACGCAUUUUCUUUCACCGUAGCUUGCUACACCGAGAGAAAAGGAGGGGCGAACGGUUAAUUAACAGGUCUUUAACCUGCCCAUCAUCGAGGGAUAACACGCGGAAACAGGUUCUAAGACCGCAUAAUUCCAUUUACCGCGGGGUGUUUAGGUGAAAGGCGCUUUUGCGUCGCUUUUUCAGGUAGCUGCGGUGGUUGAGCUAGAUGGUGGGGUAGCGGCCUAUCAAGGCUGGGAUGCAUAGCGGACCGGCGAGGACGGUCAGCCAGACUGGGAGUGAGACACGGCACAGAGGCACACGGGAGGCAGCCGUAGGGAAUCUUGGGCAAGCGGCGGAAGACUGAGCGCGAAACGCCGCGGGCGUGAGGAAGGUCUUCGGGUCGUAAAUCUCUGUUGUCGGAUAAGAAACAGGAUGCGACUGGAAAGUUCCUUGCUUGACGGUAUCUAAUCAGAAAGCAACGGCUAACUACGUG
Molecule: ribosomal RNA, 507 nt
Filed under: uncultured bacterium
Lineage: Bacteria
Description: partial 16S ribosomal RNA
Rfam family: Bacterial small subunit ribosomal RNA
Source: RNAcentral